Molecule: RNA transcript, 7925 nt
Organism: Mobula hypostoma (lesser devil ray)
Lineage: Eukaryota; Metazoa; Chordata; Chondrichthyes; Myliobatiformes; Myliobatidae
Gene: usp46
Gene name: ubiquitin specific peptidase 46
Exons: 10
Source: RefSeq, a predicted model, not a curated record
UCCCUCUAGCUGUCACGAGCGAUCCAGAACGGGGUUAGCAGUUGUUCGACUUUCUGUUCGCCGGUUUCUGCCUGGGAUCGCCAUUAUGCAUUUAAAGCGAUUAGCAUGGCAAGCGAGCUGGGACAGUUACUGUAUAGCAAAAAAUUAUUAAUAUUUUCGGAUUUUGGGGUGCUAGGUAAGAUUAGGCAGUUGAUGGGCCUGGACAACCACUUCAGUGAGAGAGGGCUCAAUGCCGCUUUAGCGCUUUGUUUACCUUAGUCGUGCCGGCUUUGCAAACCAUCGGCCGGUUCCGUUCUCAUCGCCGAGUCCUGUUAAACAUCCUGUCCACCUCUCUCCCUCUUUCCCCCUGGGUUUAUAAUAUUUUCAUAAAGAUGGCGGAGGGACCACAGGCUGCAAACUAAUGACUGUCAGAAACAUCGCUUCAAUUUGUAAUAUGGGCACCAAUGCCUCUGCUCUGGAGAAAGACAUUGGCCCAGAGCAGUUCCCAAUCAAUGAACACUACUUUGGUUUGGUUAAUUUUGGGAACACCUGCUAUUGUAACUCUGUGCUGCAAGCGCUGUACUUCUGCCGACCAUUUCGAGAGAAUGUACUUGCAUACAAGGCACAGCAGAAAAAGAAAGAAAAUCUCCUGACGUGUCUAGCUGACCUCUUCCAUUCCAUUGCCACCCAGAAGAAAAAGGUCGGUGUGAUUCCUCCCAAGAAAUUUAUUUCCAGGUUACGCAAAGAGAAUGAUUUGUUUGAUAACUACAUGCAACAAGAUGCACACGAGUUUCUGAACUACCUGCUGAAUACCAUCGCUGACAUCUUGCAGGAAGAGAAGAAGCAGGAGAAACAAAAUGGAAAAUUGAAGAAUGGAAAUGCAAAUGAAAUUGAAGAGAACAAACUUGAACCCACAUGGGUACAUGAAAUUUUUCAGGGAACACUCACGAAUGAGACCAGAUGUCUGAACUGUGAAACAGUUAGCAGCAAAGAUGAAGAUUUUUUGGAUCUUUCAGUUGACGUGGAACAGAACACAUCAAUUACCCAUUGCCUCAGAGACUUCAGCAACACGGAAACACUGUGCAGUGAACAUAAAUAUUACUGUGAGACAUGUUGUAGUAAACAGGAGGCUCAGAAAAGAAUGUGCGUGAAGAAGCUGCCCAUGAUUCUUGCGUUGCACUUGAAGAGGUUCAAAUAUAUGGAACAAUUGCAUCGGUACACAAAACUCUCUUACCGAGUGGUGUUUCCACUGGAACUGAGGUUGUUCAAUACAUCAGGAGACGCUAUUAAUUUGGACCGGAUGUAUGAUCUGGUGGCUGUUGUUGUUCACUGUGGCAGUGGUCCUAACCGUGGACACUACAUAACUAUUGUGAAAAGUCAUGGCUUCUGGCUUUUGUUUGAUGAUGAUAUUGUUGAGAGCUUUCAAGUGUCAGUUUGGCUCACUGGUAGCUCGUUCACCUCCUGAGUCAGAAGCUGGUGGAUUCAGGACCCACUGCAGUACAUAAUCUAGGCUGACACUUCAGUGCAGUACUGAGGGAGUGCUGCAUUGUCGGAUGUGCCAUCACACAGAAAAUUGAUGCUCAAGCUAUUGAAGAAUUCUACGGUUUGACUUCAGACAUUUCAAAAAACUCGGAGUCAGGAUAUAUUUUAUUUUAUCAAUCAAGAGAGUAACAUGUAAAACACUGGACUAAGUAAUCAGAAGGAUAAUUGUUUAACUUGUCCAAAGAAGAUCAGGCCAUUGCCAUCUGAUUAUUAGGGCAUUCAUUGUCCUUUAAGGGCCUUUCGCUCAGGAUGUCGGAAUAGGAUUUCGAUCGUACUCCAGGCAUUUGUAGGCUAAUGGCAAAUAUAUGAUCUUAUGGGAGAUGCAAGUCAGAGUAGUUUUGACAAGGGAACAUCCUGUCAAAAUACUAACAAAGGUAAUGCAAGUAUGCAUGCAAGACUGUCUUUCCUUCUUUUUAAAAAAAAGCAUUGCAGUGAGCCAAUAGAUAUGGCAGUGUUUCCAUUUUUCCCCCCAUGUAGGUGUACUUCUUUUGCUGAGCCCAAACAUUUGUUUAUGUUACUAACAUUAGACCUGGAUUUUAGAGCAUAAUGGGGGUAACAAAGAAGAAAGAAUUACCUCUAAAUUCCAAAAUGCAAGUUUGCCUCAUCCAAAAUGACCGUUGAUUCACUGGAUUAGAAAAAUAAAUGUAUUUCGGUUGAUUUUUAUUUUCCCUAGUGUAAUUUGGAAUAUUGUUGCUAAUUGCUUCAAAAUGUGAUUUUUUUUUGUGUUAAAAGCCCUUUCAUUGCAGACUAAUGUAUAGCAGCUAUAAGUCAUAGAAACAGUUAGUUUGAUCAUUUCAUUUUUAAAUUGCUGAAUGGUUUCUGUCUUUGCAUGUGUAAAAGGUCCUAUCUUCUGAGAGAUCAAGAGAAUGGGAACAAAUCAUGAAUUAUUAUUUUAUUCUGAUUUGAAGUGAAUAGUAUGCAAUCAAAAUUUGAACCUUAAAAUCACUUUUAAAUAGUGCAGUGUAAUUCUUCAAUAGUCUUAUGGUUUAGUCUUUAUUUUAAAUGGCUUCCCAAUAUAACUAGAUCAUGUAGCUAAUAUAGCUGGACCACACUGAUCAUUGAUAACAAUCAAAUAUAUGACUUUCUGUGAUGUUAUCUAGUGUUUCUUCUUAAUCAUAUCUAUGAGAAUACUAUAAAUAUUAGCAAUUGAUUAGUUUGACAUUAGCACGUGAGAUGGGGUAAACAAAAUAUCUUUGGCAAAUCUGGAAUGGAUAGAAAUAACUAUACAAAGGAUCAAACAAAGACAUUGUCAAAAAUGCUUAAGAGGUAAACUGAAACUAGAUUAAUAGGUUCUUGAUUGAAUGUGUUGGUUUAGAACCGGGGUACCCUACCUGUGGUCCAUGGACCCUUUGUUAAUGGUAUUGGUGCAAUGCAUAAUAAAAGGUUGGAAGCCCCUGAUUUAGAAGAAUAUCUAAUCUCUUGGCCUAUUUCAUUUCAGUUCAGAUUAAAUUAAUAAAUUUGAUUUAUAAAGUACUAAUCAAAUGAAAGGGCUUUUUUAUUUAAAAUCUUACUUGAUUAAUAUUUCCAUUCUACAUAUGUAAGAUUCAUCUCAUUUGAUUUUCUUUUAAACUUUUACAAAAUAUUUACUUUUUGUUUCUAAAUUAAAGUACUUUGUUCCAGUCUGUAGACUACAUUAGAAUAAAAUGCCAUAGACAUCUGUAUCACUUACACAAAAUUCUAAACAACUGUCACAUCUUCCUGCUUAUGAUCCUUCCAAAAAUCACUUUGGUUAUUUAUAUUAUUAAAAUAAUUGCCUAGUAAUUCAGUCUGUAUGCAAACCUUUAUGCUAGUUUACCUAACCUUUGCAUUUACUUACCUUUACAAAAGUUCUGACAAAUAUUGUUUCAAUCUAGUCUAAAGUGAGUAUUGUGAUCAAUUUGCUGCAGUCUAGUCCUUGACUGAUUUUUUUUUUGUGUGGUGAUCAAAUUGUAUUAGGUUUCAAUUCGUGUGACUUUUCACUUUUGAAAUUGGUCUUGUAUAGUUGCUUCUUAUUGAUGACCAGCAUCCAUAGCACUUGUUUAUAAUACCUAGGAAUAUUGCACUAUUUUUUAUAAAAAUCUGUUCUCAGCUCAAUAAAAUGGUCUGUUUGACCAUGUUAAUUUGCAAUCAGAUUAAAAGCAUGGUGAUGAAAAUUACAGCUGAUGGUCCACCUGAUCACAGUAGCUAAAUCAGUAUUUUAACAGAAAUCCAAAAACACGGAGAUCAGAUCAGCUAAAGCAAGGGUUCCCAAACUUUUUUAUGCCAUGGACCCCUACUAUUAACCAAGGGUCAAUGGACCCCAGGCUGGGAACCUCUGAAUAAAGAUUGAUCCCCUUAGAACCUACCUAAUGGUUUUCAUAAAGCAACCUCCAUGAUGUGAAAUGCCUAUUUGAAUGUAGUGCAGGAUUUUUACAAGUUACCAAGGCCUUGUUUCUUCCAGGUCUGGAGUUGAUAGCAAUUCCAAAGUCCUAAAUCCUGGCUAGAUUCCUGAUCUGCUGAUCCCUCAUUCUACUAGGAUUUAUCUAUAGUUGAUUAAAUAGACAUGCACAUUUUUAGAUUCACAAUUUGUUUGGAUUCUAAAUUCUGGCACCUUCCCAGCUGGACUAGAUUGAAUUGCUAAAGGAAACCGUUUCCAUUAUGUAUACAGCGAAUAUUUGUCAGCCCACCUAUCCUUCCCUGCCAUCCAUUUGGCAUCUGACAAAAAAAAACAACACAACAGGUAUAUUUGAGAUAAUUUUGUUUUGGCAAUGCUGAACUUGUUUUGUUUCCCUUAGCUUGCCAUAUUUGGUCUAAAUAUUAGACCAUGACUUCAGAAUGCCACUGGUGGUUCACAGAUGGACAUUGCCUUUUUAAAUAGUUAGGGGAUGGUGAUUAUGAUAUCACAUUACUUUCUCUUCAAAGAACCCUUUCCCUUCUCUUGCUUCCCGAGAUUCAAGGUUGUCACUUUCUUGAAAUUUUCAUGUUAACCCAGAAAAUCUUUGCCCAAUAAUGUACCUUCAUCCAGCAUUCAUCUGUAGUGAAGUCUUUAAUUCUCAAGGAAAUUUUCAGGGGAACAUUACUUUGGAAUUGUCUUUUGGAAGCUGCCUAAUGGCUAUGAACAUAUAGCAAAAGUAAGUUUUUGUGGGUUUGAGUGGAGGAGGAAAUGAACAGCAAGCAACAUGAAUGUGGUCGCAGAACUUAGAUUUUGAAACUUUCAGAAACAUGUAUUGCCAUAGUCUCGCUGUCAAAGAAUUGGAUCCCAUUAGAAAGUGCCACCUCAUUUUCUCUUGGGUCAACUUUCCUCAAUUUAAACCCUGAGAUUACUGUAGUAUACUUUUGUAUGCCUGCUGUACCACGCUGUAUUUUGUCCAAUUAAUUCCUGACAAUUCUCUGUAGGUUGAAUUUCCAACUCGUUCCUCCUGCCGCCUUAUUCUGGCUUCAGCCCCUUUAUUUCCAGUCCUGAUAAAGGGUCUCAGCCUGAAAGUCAACCGUUCAUUUUCUUCCACAGAUGCUGCCUGACUUGCUGAGUUCCUCCAGCAUUUUGUGUGCUCCUCAGUUAUAUUGUCUCUCCUUCCUUCAAUUAGUAAAAUAAGCUCAUUUGCAAUUUUCUAAUGUAAGCAAACAUUUUCUAAAUGCAGGCAAAUGCAUCUUCAAUUUAUUCACUUUUGUUUUAGUCAUCAAAACGUUCUUCCAUUUUACUAAGCAUCAUUUAGCCAUUCCAAUUUCUAUACAAAUAAAAUUUCUGAUGAUUUCACUUUAUCUAUUUUUCCCCUUACAUCUGUUCAGUCUUUACAGAGCUUGCUAAACUAGGAAGCUAAUUAACUCAAAAUUGGGCACUAUGUUGCUAGUUGAAGAAGAAUUUGUGACAAUUGUUACUUUAGGCUUAGAUAAAAUUACAGAGUUAAUUCUGGCCCUAGACUUGUGCAUCAUUUAAAUUGCCUUUAAAACUACUAUUUUACAGCCUAUUGGUACUUUGUGUAUUUGUAUGGAGGAAUGUGGAGAGAUACACUAGUUAAUUUUGGCACUGGUAUUUUAAUAUAAUGUCCCCUGCACGUUUCCCUCUUGUGUAGCUAACUUGUGCAUGUCCACAGAUCCGUGAAAAAAAUGGUGAGGAAAAGGAGGAACACAGCACGACCAAUAACCUUUUCGAAGUCUUGAUGCAAUUAGAAAAAUUACAGGCUUCUAUCCAAUCUGUACAGGGCAACUUGUGCUUGUUUGUGUUUAUAAUCAGAUCAAUCAUCUUUAGUAUACUAUUCUUUAAAGUUACUGAUUAAUUACCUGACCUCCCAAAAUCAAUCUUAGUUUUUGCACUCGUCAGUCUAUAUAUUUAUCCUUCUGAAACAAAGGUAGUUUAAGCUGCUUGUAUUUUCACCGCCUUCUCUUUUGUAAGAAAUUUUUGUCCAUGAAAUUAUUCUAAGUUAUUGGAAAUAACAAAUGCACUCAACAAAUUUAUUUUCUAUCUUUCUUAUAGCUCUUCCCUGCUAGAAUAUUUUCCUUAAGGCAAUUUGGGCGUGUGAACAUUGUUGUAUUCCAGAUGUUCUGUGCCACAGUACAGUUAACUUAGCAGUGUAGAUUUCUUUUGACGUUAUUUUUCCUUUCAAAUUGUGGGCAACUUUAGUAUUUAUUGUGUAUCUAACUGUUCAAGCCUCAUUUUACUCAAUGAUUGUCAAUGUAAUAAUGGGCUAGUGCAAUUUAAAAAUGGCAAGUCACACUUGGAGGGAACGGUGUUCAGUGCUGCAAAUACAAUAACUGUUUGUGUUUCAGCAUCCCUACCAGCAAUAAUCUGACUUUGAUAAAUGGUGCCAUGGCUUGUAUAUUACCUUCCAAUCAGCAUUUAUUGCAGCUUUUAAACUGGACUCCUUUCCAGUGCUGAUGAAGAACAAUUAAAAGAUAAAGGUUGUCAUGAAAUUGCUCAUUUUCUUGCAAGAUAUAUACUCCUUUUAGUCCAAUUGCUGACAAUAUUGUAAUAACAAACUCAAUGUAAAAUUGUUAUUUUUAUUGGCUGAUGGCAAUGCCUAUUAGAUUAAAUAACUUCAGUGACCUAAAGUUAAUGACUUUUAUUCGCACAUCCCUGUACAUGACAUUCAUUGCACAUUUUAGGUACUUUUUAAUGACCUAGUUUGCACAUCUUGAUACAAAUAAAUGCUGCAGAAUCGAUAUUUUCACUGUACUAUUUGUCUCUACUUCAUUAAAUACACUUUUCCCCUACAUUGAAGUGAAGAAAACUAACAUUUUUUUUUAUUAGCGAAAUGUAAUAUUGUCAACAUUUUAGUUUAAAAGCAAUGAGUUUUUAGUGUAGGUUCAAUAUCUGUGGUUCUAUCCAUUUUUCUUAUUGAUUAUGUAAACAGUAGAAAUACACAGAAAUCAAUAACCUGCAUAUAGAAUGGAUAUGUACCUAUAUAUAUGAAAGCUGCAAAUCCUUUUCAAUAUUAAAAUGAUUAAAUGUACACAGUUUACUCGAGGGUUUCUGUAAACUACUGUAAUAGAUUAAUUGCAGUUAAGAGAUUUAAAAGGUGCCAAACUUAGAAUAAUAGAUAUGUAUGAGAAAAGAUUUAUUUUUUCAUACAACCCCUAGUGCAUAUGAUGGCAAAAAAUAAUGUUGGCUUGAAAUUGUAAUCUGCUGUAGUGAAAUAACACACAAUGCUCAUAUCAGAUGACAUUUUGUGGGUACAUAAAAUAUCUUAAUCAUUGGAUCAUUUGGCAUUCAAAAUAUAUAGUGCCAAUGGAUAAAUUUAUGCAUUCAAGAACUUUUCACUGCAGAUGUACACAAGUAACAAUAUUGUAAUCCUAGAAAGUGGUGAAUACUUUCUCUUAAUCUUUGUGUCUUCAUUUCUUCCAUCACUAUAUUUGGUCAAAGCAGCAUCAGACUGAGUAAAUAAAUAUGUAUCAACAAAAAGCAGGUUAUGUGUAAAACUUCCAAAAGCUUAACACUUAGUUUGGAAGAAUGAACUGAUGGGAAAAUGUUACAUUUUAAUGUACCUAUGUAUGUGUACCCACACAGCACUUUGAUUUAAAUGUAAUGUGUUCAUUAAAUGGGGAUCAUGACAGAGGAUGUAUAUAGAAUUUGUAUAUAAUCUGUAUUUUCUUCAAUAAAAUCUAAAAACAAAUUGUGGUUGUAUUUUCUCCAGAUCACAAUAUAAAAUGUUACAACCAUGUACCAGAAUUUUUAAAAAAACAUCAUUAAGGAAAUGCCUGUUAAUCAUUCCAACUAGUUUCAGUUGGGUUGUAUUAUUAAGGGUGAGGCUAGGCUGGUGUUUAAGUCUAUAAUCACUUCUUGAGCGCUGAGUUGUCAGCUUGACCCAACAGAACCCCAUUUUGGUUACUAAGCUUUUAUAAAAGGAGUUUUAGUAAUUUAUACCCAGUGAUGAUUGGAAAAACUGACCAGUUCUCUAUUUCUAAGGACAGCAUGUGACUUAGGUGAUUUUGUUUCUUUGAACGUCAUGCAU